UGCGCAGGCGGGUUGGCAAGUCAGAGGUGAAAUCUCACGGCUUAACUGUGAAACUGCCUUUGAUACUGCUGAUCUUGAGUAUGGAAGAGAGAGACGGAAUUCCAGGUGUAGUGGUGAAAUACGUAGAUAUCUGGAAGAACACCAGUUGCGCAGGCGGUCUCUUGGUCCAAUACUGACGCUCAGGCACGAAAGCGUGGGUAGCAAACA
Molecule: ribosomal RNA, 207 nt
Filed under: uncultured bacterium
Lineage: Bacteria
Description: partial 16S ribosomal RNA
Rfam family: Bacterial small subunit ribosomal RNA
Source: RNAcentral